GAUUUCUCCAGUCCUUAGAGCUCGCUGUCUGUCUGGCUCUUUUACUUUUUAACUUCCAGGACUCGAACUCACAGCCAUGUCUUCUGAAGAAGGAAAGCACUUUGUGGGAGGGCUCAACUUUAACACCGAUGAGCAGGCACUGGAAGACCACUUCAGCAGCUUUGGCCCUAUUUCUGAGGUGGUUGUUGUCAAGGACUGGGAGACUCAGUGAUCCUGGGGUUUUGGCUUCAUCACCUUCACCAACCCAGAGCAUGCCUCAGAUGCCAUGAGAGCCAUGAAUGGAGAGUCCCUGGACGGUCGCCAGAUCCGUGUUGACCAUGCAGGCAAGUCUGCCCGGGGAACCAGAGGGGGUACUUUUGGGGCCCGUGGUCGUGGCUACUCUAGAGGUGGUGGGGACCAAGGCUAUGGGAGUGGCAGAUAUGACAGCCGACCUGGAGGAUAUGGAUAUGGAUAUGGACGGUCCAGAGACUAUGGUGGCAGAAACCAGGGUGGUUAUGACCGCUACUCAGGAGGAAAUUACAGAGACAAUUAUGACAACUGAGAUGAGACAUGCACACAUAAUGUAGAUACACAAGGAAUAACACUUCUGAUCCAGGAUCGUCCUUCCAAAAUGGCUGUAUUUAUAAAAGAUUUUUGGAGCUGCACUGAAACAUCUGUUUUUAUUACACCAACUUCUAUUUUUCAAUUGCGCUCCCAAGGUAGCUUAUUAAAGACCUUUUAGAAAGCUCCAUGUGUUUUUAAAAUUUUUCUCUCCCAUUUAAAGACAAA
Carlito syrichta (Philippine tarsier) is the source of this 768-nucleotide RNA transcript. It is a transcript of the gene named RNA-binding protein 3 pseudogene, with no coding region annotated. NCBI's taxonomy places the organism in Eukaryota, Metazoa, Chordata, Mammalia, Primates, Tarsiidae. The record is from RefSeq and is a predicted model, not a curated record. The transcript has a single exon.